Etheostoma spectabile (orangethroat darter) is the source of this 584-nucleotide non-coding RNA. Lineage: Eukaryota; Metazoa; Chordata; Actinopteri; Perciformes; Percidae. The record is from the annotation of a RefSeq genome assembly.
GCACAGAGAGGCUGAACUGUUUCCAUGCACUCCCACUGAUACUGCAUCAGGAUGAUGUUGCCAAUAACUCUGUUUGUCAUGUUGGGUUUUCUGAGUCAUGAGUCGUCUGCCAACAAAUUUCUGACUCAGGCUGACAAAUCCAAGUCUGUCAGUCUUGAAGGGACUGUGACCAUCAGCGCCUCAGGGAGUUCAGAUAUUGAUGAUGAUCUCAGUUGGUACCUUCAGAAACCUGGACAGGCUCCUAAACUUCUUAUAUACCAAGAAUCAACUCUCUUCACUGGAACUCCGUCUCGAUUCAGUGGCAGUAGAUCUGGUUCUCACUACACUUUAACCAUCAGUGGUUUUAAGGCUGAAGAUGAAGAUUUAGAGCCGUACAAAAACCUCCUUCAGUUUGAGUGAAGUGAAAGCGGCCUGCUGCAGGUGCAGAGGGUUGGUGAAGAGACUGUGAUGAGGAGAACUGGUCCAGUGAACACAACACAAGAGUCAUCAAGCAGAACCACAAUCAAUCUAAAUAAAACUGACACACACUCACAGACACUCUUACACAUAUAGUUUUAAACUUUACUCUUAUCAGUUCAUUUAAC